This 524-nucleotide small RNA is filed under the name Cryptococcus neoformans H99. RNAcentral describes it as "Cryptococcus neoformans var. grubii H99 hypothetical RNA". The record is from RNAcentral. Lineage: Eukaryota; Fungi; Basidiomycota; Tremellomycetes; Tremellales; Cryptococcaceae.
CAGAUAUCGAAGACCAAACGACUGAGAUGGUGGGUUGACCGAAACUUUGAGCAAUGGACGCAGGCAGGCCUAGCCUUGUUGAGACUAAAUGGGAUUUGUGUUGAGGAGCCGAGGCAUAUGUCGCAACGAAGGGACAUCGAGAAUGACACAGUUAGUUGAAAGACGAAGGUUAGUUGGAAGAUUACGAAGAUUAGUUGAAUGAUCAUGACAUUUGGGAAGUUGUGAGGAUUUGUGUAAGCAUUUUAGGGAACUGGCGUGACGUUGGACGGAAGUUAAGAACACAUAGAGAUAGAAGAUGGGAACGAACACAGUGUUACCUCAUACUCAGUAAGUAUAAACGGUUGCGAGUGAGGAAACGAAGAAGGAAACCCAAGAGCAACGAGCAAUACGCAUGAGCGACAACGAGCAGCAGGUGCAUGGGUCGGUAUUAUAGCAGCAUCAUCAUGAACGGACAUGUCGGCGACGCUUUUAUUAGCAGGAAAGACGGAAGUGCCUAAUGACCGGCGUUCAGAAAUCUGGCGUGC